Molecule: long non-coding RNA, 954 nt
Organism: Gasterosteus aculeatus aculeatus (three-spined stickleback)
Lineage: Eukaryota; Metazoa; Chordata; Actinopteri; Perciformes; Gasterosteidae
Source: Ensembl
AAUAAAUACAAAAUGGCCAUCCUACAUACCUCUGUUUUGGUCGCAGAGGAAAGGAUUUUGAAUGUGUAGCGCUGGAGAUGAUGAUCAGCUGAGACUACUGCAUACAAUGAGAAGCUAAUAUGCACGGAGGGGAUAUGGGUGAAAAUGACCAAAAGCGAGUUUAAUCAAGCAGAACCAUGCAGUGGAAACGAGGAAAAAUAGUGCAGAAUAGUGCAAAGGGAAGAUCCGGGGAUACAAAGAGACACGAUCUAAGGAAAGAAGGAAGGCAGUAGGAGCUCGGAAGCGAAGAGGCGAUAAUGAGCGAGUAGUAGACGCACUGGGCAUCUGGAGCCAGCAUAUGGAUACCUCUGGUAAUGCAGAGGAAAAAGAGGCCGACACUAACAGCGCACAACUUAACAGCCUUUAAAAUCACUGCAUCGACGGCUUCGAGCUCGGCUCUACACAGUAACACAACCUUCUCUCGGAAUUAUUCAGUGCAUAGGUUUUGCGACGAAAAAGGAGCUGAAAUGAUCGACUGCCAGAUUACGUCAAAAAGAUUCAAGCAUUGCACAACAGAGCCUCAAUAGUUCUCAGUCUUAUAAUACGUAGGUCUCCGAGUACGAUUUCGUUCUUGAUGUGCUUGUUGUGCAUAAAGUGAAAAGGACCGUGGGGACACACAACAGAAAUCGGCUGUCCCACAGUACGUGUCACCAGUACACGGUUCAGUACGUCACAGGACAACCAGGCGAUAUUCAGGCUUAACAAUGACUGGUGCGAUCCUUCUAGAAGCAAUCCGAUCUUAUUGCUGUAAGCAUAUAAAUAAUGUGAUACUUGUAACGUGUAAUACAGCACAAUGGCUGCAUGGUGAGAGGACCAAAUGUUUAGAUAUCACCUCAUGCACAAGCAACUUUAUUUUUGAGCCAGUGUUGUGCAAAUGAAACCUUUUGGUUUGAUUAUACAGUAUGAAGGCUGGAG